RNAcentral lists this ribosomal RNA (780 nucleotides) under uncultured Staphylococcus sp. Its description in RNAcentral is "bacterial SSU rRNA". It matches the Rfam family "Bacterial small subunit ribosomal RNA", at positions 139 to 905 of the family's 1533-position model. Lineage: Bacteria; Bacillati; Bacillota; Bacilli; Caryophanales; Staphylococcaceae. The record is from RNAcentral.
UGGGAUAACUUCGGGAAACCGGAGCUAAUACCGGAUAACAUUUAGAACCGCAUGGUUCUAAAGUGAAAGAUGGUUUUGCUAUCACUUAUAGAUGGACCCGCGCCGUAUUAGCUAGUUGGUAAGGUAACGGCUUACCAAGGCGACGAUACGUAGCCGACCUGAGAGGGUGAUCGGCCACACUGGAACUGAGACACGGUCCAGACUCCUACGGGAGGCAGCAGUAGGGAAUCUUCCGCAAUGGGCGAAAGCCUGACGGAGCAACGCCGCGUGAGUGAUGAAGGGUUUCGGCUCGUAAAACUCUGUUAUUAGGGAAGAACAAAUGUGUAAGUAACUGUGCACAUCUUGACGGUACCUAAUCAGAAAGCCACGGCUAACUACGUGCCAGCAGCCGCGGUAAUACGUAGGUGGCAAGCGUUAUCCGGAAUUAUUGGGCGUAAAGCGCGCGUAGGCGGUUUCUUAAGUCUGAUGUGAAAGCCCACGGCUCAACCGUGGAGGGUCAUUGGAAACUGGGAAACUUGAGUGCAGAAGAGGAAAGUGGAAUUCCAUGUGUAGCGGUGAAAUGCGCAGAGAUAUGGAGGAACACCAGUGGCGAAGGCGACUUUCUGGUCUGUAACUGACGCUGAUGUGCGAAAGCGUGGGGAUCAAACAGGAUUAGAUACCCUGGUAGUCCACGCCGUAAACGAUGAGUGCUAAGUGUUAGGGGGUUUCCGCCCCUUAGUGCUGCAGCUAACGCAUUAAGCACUCCGCCUGGGGAGUACGACCGCAAGGUUGAAACUCAAA